UUUGCGGUUAAUGGGAUUGGGCCCGGCGUUUGAAUAAGGCUAAGUUGUUGAAGGUAAACNGCCCAACCAAAGGCGACGAAUCAAUAGGCNGCNUUGAGAGAAGUGAACGCCCACAUUGGGANUGAGAACACGCCCCAAAUUCNUACGGGGAGGCAGCAGUGGGGAAUAUUGCACAAUGGGGAAAAANCNUGAUGCAGCGACGCCGCGUGAGUGAAGAAGUAUUUCGGUAUGUAAAGCUCUAUCAGCAGGAAAGAUAAUGACGGUACCUGACUAAGAAGCCCCGGCUAACUACGUGCCAGCAGCCGCGGUAAUACGUAGGGGGCAAGCGUUAUCCGGAUUUACUGGGUGUAAAGGGUGCGUAGGUGGCGAGGCAAGUCUGAUGUGAAAGCCCGGGGCUCAACCCCCGGUAUUGCAUUGGAAACUGUUUUGCUAGAGUGCCGGAGAGGUAAGUGGAAUUCCUAGUGUAGCGGUGAAAUGCGUAGAUAUUAGGAGGAACACCAGUGGCGAAGGCGGCUUACUGGACGGUAACUGACACUGAGGCACGAAAGCGUGGGGAGCAAACA
Molecule: ribosomal RNA, 563 nt
Filed under: uncultured bacterium
Lineage: Bacteria
Description: bacterial SSU rRNA
Rfam family: Bacterial small subunit ribosomal RNA
Source: RNAcentral